RNAcentral lists this ribosomal RNA (1031 nucleotides) under Bacillus licheniformis. RNAcentral's name for it is "bacterial SSU rRNA". It matches the Rfam family "Bacterial small subunit ribosomal RNA", at positions 50 to 1061 of the family's 1533-position model. Lineage: Bacteria; Bacillati; Bacillota; Bacilli; Caryophanales; Bacillaceae. The record is from RNAcentral.
UAUACAUGCAAGUCGAGCGGACAGAUGGGAGCUUGCUCCCUGAUGUCAGCGGCGGACGGGUGAGUAACACGUGGGUAACCUGCCUGUAAGACUGGGAUAACUCCGGGAAACCGGGGCUAAUACCGGAUGCUUGAUUGAACCGCAUGGUUCAAUUAUAAAAGGUGGCUUUUGGCUACCACUUACAGAUGGACCCGCGGCGCAUUAGCUAGUUGGUGAGGUAACGGCUCACCAAGGCAACGAUGCGUAGCCGACCUGAGAGGGUGAUCGGCCACACUGGGACUGAGACACGGCCCAGACUCCUACGGGAGGCAGCAUUAGGGAAUCUUCCGCAAUGGACGAAAGUCUGACGGAGCACCGCCGCGUGAGUGAUGAAGGUUUUCGGAUCGUAAAACUCUGUUGUUAGGGAAGAACAAUUACCUUUCGAAUAGGGCGGUACCUUGACGGUACCUAACCAGAAAGCCACGGCUAACUACUUGCCAGCAGCCGCGGUAAUACGUAGGUGGCAAGCGUUGUCCGGAAUUAUUGGGCGUAAAGCGCGCGCAGGCGGUUUCUUAAGUCUGAUGUGAAAGCCCCCGGCUCAACCGGGGAGGGUCAUUGGAAACUGGGGAACUUGAGUGCAGAAGAGGAGAGUGGAAUUCCACGUGUAGCGGUGAAAUGCGUAGAGAUGUGGAGGAACACCAGUGGCGAAGGCGACUCUCUGGUCUGUAACUGACGCUGAGGCGCGAAAGCGUGGGGAGCGAACAGGAUUAGAUACCCUGGUAGUCCACGCCGUAAACGAUGAGUGCUAAGUGUUAGAGGGUUUCCGCCCUUUAGUGCUGCAGCAAACGCAUUAAGCACUCCGCCUGGGGAGUACGGUCGCAAGACUGAAACUCAAAGGAAUUGACGGGGGCCCGCACAAGCGGUGGAGCAUGUGGUUUAAUUCGAAGCAACGCGAAGAACCUUACCAGGUCUUGACAUCCUCUGACAACCCUAGAGAUAGGGCUUCCCCUUCGGGGGCAGAGUGACAGGUGGUGCAUGGUUGUCGUCAGCUC